GCCUGGGUGGCUCAGUCGGUUAAGCGUCUGACUUCAGCUCAGGUCAUGAUCUCAUGAUUUGUGGGUUCGAGCCCCACGUCGGGCU
Molecule: transfer RNA, 85 nt
Filed under: Felis catus (domestic cat)
Lineage: Eukaryota; Metazoa; Chordata; Mammalia; Carnivora; Felidae
Rfam family: tRNA
About the family: Transfer RNA (tRNA) molecules are approximately 80 nucleotides in length. Their secondary structure includes four short double-helical elements and three loops (D, anti-codon, and T loops).
Source: Rfam by way of RNAcentral